GACGAACGCUGGCGGCGUGCUUAACACAUGCAAGUCGAACGGUAAGGCCCUUCGGGGUACACGAGUGGCGAACGGGUGAGUAACACGUGGGUGAUCUGCCCUGCACUUCGGGAUAAGCCUGGGAAACUGGGUCUAAUACCGGAUAGGACCCUGGGAUGCAUGUCCUGGGGUGGAAAGCUUUUGCGGUGUGGGAUGGGCCCGCGGCCUAUCAGCUUGUUGGUGGGGUGAUGGCCUACCAAGGCGAGGACGGGUAGCCGGCCUGAGAGGGGGACCGGCCACACUGGGACUGAGUUACGGCCCAGACGCCUACGGAAGGCAGCAGUGGGGAAUAUUGCACAAUGGGCGCAAGCCUGAUGCAGCGACGCCGCGGGAGGGAUGACGGCCUUCGGGUUGUAAACCUCUUUCAGCACCGACGAAGCGCAAGUGACGGUAGGUGCAGAAGAAGGACCGGCCAACUACGUGCCAGCAGCCGCCGUAA
This 478-nucleotide ribosomal RNA is filed under the name uncultured bacterium. Its description in RNAcentral is "partial 16S ribosomal RNA". It matches the Rfam family "Bacterial small subunit ribosomal RNA", at positions 28 to 523 of the family's 1533-position model. The record is from RNAcentral.